This 73-nucleotide transfer RNA is filed under the name Quasipaa boulengeri (spiny-bellied frog). RNAcentral's name for it is "tRNA-Asn". The record is from RNAcentral. Lineage: Eukaryota; Metazoa; Chordata; Amphibia; Anura; Dicroglossidae.
UAGAAUGAAGCUCGCCGGAUUGAGUGUUUAGCUGUUAACUAAAGUAUUACGGGAUCAAGGCCCGUCUUUCUAG